CAGAGACUCAAGGGUUGUAUCCAUGUGUUGUAUCAGUGACAGAAUGGUGGAGAUCACAGAUGAGGAGCCAGUGGCAUUUGUAAAGGAGAGUUUGACUUAUCAAAAGGUAAAGUGGAAGUAGAAACGGACACCACUGCUCUCAAGACUGCUUUGCAAAAGCUACUUUUCAAUGAGCCAUUGGGGAACAAGCAGUGCAAAUUUCCUGAUUUUCUUCUCAACAUAGCAUCAACAGUGCAAUUUAAAGCCAAUUCUGCUCAAAAGAAAUAGGUUACUUAUAAUAACUUGUGAGGAAUAACUUCAAAGGAAGCUGUCUAUUAUCUUAUGCUUUUAGUUGUGAAACGUUUACUAUUAAUGUCUUUAUUUUAUUGACCAUCAUGCCUUAAUAUUAAUUAAUAUCUUACACAAAUAUGUUUCUUCUUUGAGAAAUAUGGUCCUUCAUACACUCCUUAGGGUACAAAGGCAGAUCAAAAGCUGGAUUCAAUUUACAGACUACAUAUGAUAUAAACAGGAAGCAAACUGAGCAGAGGAAUUGGUCUUUCAAAAGGUAAAAAUUCACUACUUCUGAGGGAAAAUAAGAAGAAGAAUAAAAAAAAAUAUGGGCACUGUUAAAAAAUGUAUAGGGAAAUUGGCAUGCAGGGACUCUCACCUAUCAGAAUCAGCUUCAUUGGCAUCACUGGAAAGAACACAGUGGGCAAGUGGGUGCUUCAAGGAGCUGAGGCUUCCUACGCAGUGCUAUUAUGCAGAGCUUACUGAGAAGUAAGUAUGUCUAAGAUUCUCUCUAAUAGAUGGAAAUAUGUUCUAACAAGGAACAUAGAGAAUAAACAUGCAAUGAACACUCUAAGGAAAGCACACUUCUGCACUGAAGUCAGCUUAAUGAAUGAUAUGGUGUCUUUUUAAAAGUCAAAGCAGAUUUUUCUGAUUGAAAUGAGACAUUGGGGAUUUUUUAACAAAAACAAAGCAAAAGCUAGCAAACAGCUCUCUAAGGUCCUCUCUAAGGACCAAGGUAUCUUACAGUUGGGCCUCAUCAACUCUUUCUUUCUAACCCCUCCCGCUCUUCCAUAGCAUUUACUGAACUUUGGUAAGAAGAAUUGAUCUAGCUGUAUAAGUUUUAAUAUGCUAGCAAGUUAAACCAUGGGAUUAUUUUCUAGGGAGCGCUUUGUAACUUUCUAUAACAAAUGUUCUGAAAAUACCUUGAGCUGGUUUUCAGCAGUGUCUGAACAGAUUGUGUUGAGAAUGAUCUAAGUGAUGCUCUUCAUGUGGAUCACCUCUAAACAAAUCGUCACUCAUCUGGGCAUCGACAACAUUGGCUCAAAGGUGGACUCAGAACUGAAGUUUGUCUGAUCAGAGUAACUCUUGAUUUACGGGACCGGUAAUAACUUUCAGAAAAGUUAUAUAAUCUUUUCACUGAACUCAGAGCUCUGAAGAAAUGAGAUGAUGGUAGAGGCGACAUGUUUGCUGCAAAACGAACUCGAACAUGCCACAUGUAAAGUCAACAAGAGAAACUGAGAAAGGUUCUGUGGUAGGAUUAUGGACUACUAGACUCUUAGAAAAGAGCCUGGUUGGAAUUCCUGAAUCAAACUAAUCUGAAAUAACUGUACCACCUGUGCAGUUCUUUGUCAAGAGGGCAACGGAUUAUGCUUUGCGAGUCGCUAUUCUCUUUCACUUGCAGAAGGGUUAUAGUAACUUCUGAAGGAAAUUCAUACUGGCAUACCAUGAUGUGAGUUUCUCUGCCCACUUUACUUUUCUGAAGUCACUCUCGAUGACGCUAGUGUCAUUUCAGUGCAAGGUAAAUAUACCAUGUGAUUAUCACCAUGUACUUCUCUGAUAAGUAGUUACACUGGAUCUUUCUCCUUUCAUUCACAGUACAGGAAACUCAAGACUUCCCUCUGUUUUAACUCAGUUAGAUAUAUUUGGUAUGAUUAUUGUCAUUUGAUGAAGAGUCAUAGCGGCAGAGAUACAGAAGGAGCAGACCCGUGCUUUAUGCAUGAUCUAAUUUUUCUGAAUUAUACCUUCUAAUAGAGUAACCCUACAUAUAUGGUCUCAUAUGUGAUAGUGGUUUUAGAAAAGAAAUGAAAUUUGUGAGUGCUAUAACUAAAAUACUCAAUUAUCAAACUCGUUUUUAAGUCUAUUUAGUUAAAUUAUUUAAGACAUGCCAAGCAAGUUAAUUUAGUAUUAAUGCUAUGCUUGUACUUGCCAAAUUACCAUAGCUAAAAAUAAGACUUCCUAACUGGCAAGACAAAAUUUAUGUACAGUCAGUUGUUUUUAAGUCAUACAAAUCCAGAGUUAGGAUUGUACCUGAGCAACAGAGUGUUCAUCUGACACAGGCGACACACUGGGUUCUAUCACUAACACUUUAAAUUGAAACCAAAAGCAAAACAAUACACAGUCAAACUCAGCCACACACAUUCCAAGUAGAAGAGGCAGGAUAACACACAACAAGCUAGAAUUAUUUUUCUAUUAUGUGACAUAAAUUUCAAGGUAUCAACUUGUCAAGUCUCCAAAAUGUCUAGAUUUCAUCUAAUUGUUGCCAAAGACAUGCCAAGUUUACCUACAUGUACAGUUGUUUCUUGUUAAAUACUGACCAAUCUCACUUUUGUUUUAUAUGUUGCCAUUACUAGUAAUGGGAAGAACUGCUUUGUCCUGGGAUAAAUACACUAUGUUAAAUUUAAUUUUCAAACAUGUACUAUAACUGCAUUCUUUUUAAGUUUGUGAGUUGGAGAUAAAGCUAGCAGUUAAGAGCAUAUACUGCUCUUCCAGAGGACCCAAGUGUGAUUCCCAGCACCUACACAAAGUAGCGAACAACCUCCUAUGACAAAGGCUCAAAGGAAUCCAUUGUCUUCCACUGCUAUCCAUAGGAACUGCACACACACACACACACACACAAAAUUUUAAAAUAAAAAUAAUUAAUAAAAAGUUUAAUAAAAUAAAACCUUAAAACUAAAUGCAUAUAUGUUU
Molecule: long non-coding RNA, 2955 nt
Organism: Apodemus sylvaticus (European woodmouse)
Lineage: Eukaryota; Metazoa; Chordata; Mammalia; Rodentia; Muridae
Exons: 3
Source: RefSeq, a predicted model, not a curated record